Molecule: long non-coding RNA, 1117 nt
Filed under: Bemisia tabaci
Lineage: Eukaryota; Metazoa; Arthropoda; Insecta; Hemiptera; Aleyrodidae
Description: lncRNA ENSSSA1NGG011717
Source: RNAcentral
AGCUGCCAAUUUAUGUAGAAACAUAACGAUUUCGAGUCACUGAGUCGCAUUCUGCGUAAUGAAAUACAUUUUUGGGGAAUUAAGGAAUCUUUGGAAGGCAGCUAGUCUAUAAGAGAGACUGGUGUGAAGAUUUGUGACGAUGUCCAUCCUGCACCACUGACCAUUCGUCAAAUAAACCAUCUUCGAGCCAUUUAAUGUGAAAUUUGACACUUACACGCCCCCCUCCUUUGGUAAAAAAAAAGUAAACUAUACGUCACUAAUAACCCAAAAAUCAUUAUUUUAACUUCAUCUAUUUCUCGUAAUUAUUCCUCGAUGCUAAAGAUUUCAUCUCAAAAAUUAAGAAUGCUUGUCUCUCAAAAUGUCUCAUACCUCGCCGGUGAAACCAGAAAAAAACGCAAGCAUAUAGAAAAAAAUGGCAGAUAGUAUUUCUUUGAAAAAAAAAUAAAUAAAAGAAAGUGGAAAUUUUGACGAUAAAUCGUUUUGACCGAGAUGAAGUAAUAAACUGCAUCUCAUUAUUCCAUAUUUAGUAUUUCAUUUUUCUCAACGUUGAUGCGUAGAAAAAUAUUGGAUGUGAGAGGUUAUUGAUGUCCCUUGACGAAUGCGUAAUGCCUUUACCUCCUUGCCACUUGCUAGUCGUUGUUGUGAGCUCUGACCUAUACAAACGACACCCUAUUUUGCCGUUCUGCAGCCACAGGACUCGUUGACUGUCACUGUAAUACUCGUAUAAAAAAGAGAUUAUUGUGGUUAAUCAUUGAUUACCGCCGAUGCAGUAUAUCUUUGAGUUUUUCGUUUUCAGAACAAUUAUUUCUCUCCUUGUUUGCAGAGGGUCUUGCGAAAUUCAUGGAGGAAGGAGUGAAUGACGAUCCGGCCUUUAAAAAAUACACUUUGUGUAUGUUGAAAAUAUGCAAGGGGUAAGUAACAUCCUACGAUAUAUUAAAAUCUGAAGGCUAGUCAUUUAAAUUCCACAUUCAAAUUGCAAGUUUGCAUUUGCUCUAGGUCACAUACAUUUCUGUCAAUUUGCGGUUCAGAUGAAUGAACUAAGAAUGUUCAUAGUUACCAUUUCGAUAAAAUCUUAGCAUAUUUUACAAUAUCGUGGAUAACAGAACGCUCUUUUAAC